RNAcentral lists this ribosomal RNA (507 nucleotides) under Fusarium oxysporum. RNAcentral describes it as "eukaryotic LSU rRNA". The stretch from base 154 to 307 matches the Rfam family "5.8S ribosomal RNA". The record is from RNAcentral. Lineage: Eukaryota; Fungi; Ascomycota; Sordariomycetes; Hypocreales; Nectriaceae.
CAUUACCGAGUUUACAACUCCCAAACCCCUGUGAACAUACCACUUGUUGCCUCGGCGGAUCAGCCCGCUCCCGGUAAAACGGGACGGCCCGCCAGAGGACCCCUAAACUCUGUUUCUAUAUGUAACUUCUGAGUAAAACCAUAAAUAAAUCAAAACUUUCAACAACGGAUCUCUUGGUUCUGGCAUCGAUGAAGAACGCAGCAAAAUGCGAUAAGUAAUGUGAAUUGCAGAAUUCAGUGAAUCAUCGAAUCUUUGAACGCACAUUGCGCCCGCCAGUAUUCUGGCGGGCAUGCCUGUUCGAGCGUCAUUUCAACCCUCAAGCACAGCUUGGUGUUGGGACUCGCGUUAAUUCGCGUUCCCCAAAUUGAUUGGCGGUCACGUCGAGCUUCCAUAGCGUAGUAGUAAAACCCUCGUUACUGGUAAUCGUCGCGGCCACGCCGUUAAACCCCAACUUCUGAAUGUUGACCUCGGAUCAGGUAGGAAUACCCGCUGAACUUAAGCAUAUCA